This 742-nucleotide long non-coding RNA is filed under the name Marmota monax (woodchuck). The record is from RNAcentral. Lineage: Eukaryota; Metazoa; Chordata; Mammalia; Rodentia; Sciuridae.
UGAUGCUCAGGAGCUGCUCUUUUCGCCUGUCCUGCUCAUGGCCUUGCUGGGCCGUUUCUGUCCUGGGGUGUCAUGAUUAUGAUUUUUUCCCUUAAAACAUCCAUGACAUUUUGACAUCAUGCCUUUCUCAGCCCAGCAAAACUUAAUGGUCAAUGAACAGCCCUCUAGAAAACGCCACCACUAGCUCUGAACUCUCCACCUCUCCUCGCUGCCCACGGGUCCACGACAGCCAAGCAGCCCCGGACUGGGAACCGUGCUCCUAGCAGAGGAAUUGGAAUCAGAGCCCUUGAAAUCAGCUGCCUUUCUCCUGCUGGUGAUGAAAACGGGUGCUUCAUGUGGUGGGGGGACAUAGCCGCCGGCUGGAGAAGCCUCCCCUGCCAGCGCUGGAGAACAAAGACUCGCAUCCGCUCUCGGUUACCUCCUGUCUAUAUAUAGAAAAUUAUUCAAACGAAUGACUUAUCAAACCCUGCACAGGGAAUAUCCUGAGACACGGUGACCUGGGUCUCAGGGCAAAGGCUCUCAGAGGCCGGCUACUGGCUGCAAGACUGCAUGAGUUUGCUUUAAAGGAAAACAAGCUCCCUGCGCCCCAACAUAUUCAAAAAGGCUGCAGGCAGUCCCAGAUAGAUCUUGUGCUCAUAACUCUGGGCAGCCUGCUGUUUUCCUCUUGUGCAAUACCCAAGCAUUGAGUUCAUGUUUAAAAAUAGGUGGAAACAAAAUGCAUUGACAUACUACCAUCAACUGC